GAUGAACGCUGGCGGCGUGCCUAAUACAUGCAAGUCGAGCGAACGGACGAGAAGCUUGCUUCUCUGAUGUUAGCGGCGGACGGGUGAGUAACACGUGGAUAACCUACCUAUAAGACUGGGAUAACUUCGGGAAACCGGAGCUAAUACCGGAUAAUAUUUUGAACCGCAUGGUUCAAAAGUGAAAGACGGUCUUGCUGUCACUUAUAGAUGGAUCCGCGCUGCAUUAGCUAGUUGGUAAGGUAACGGCUUACCAAGGCAACGAUGCAUAGCCGACCUGAGAGGGUGAUCGGCCACACUGGAACUGAGACACGGUCCAGACUCCUACGGGAGGCAGCAGUAGGGAAUCUUCCGCAAUGGGCGAAAGCCUGACGGAGCAACGCCGCGUGAGUGAUGAAGGUCUUCGGAUCGUAAUACUCUGUUAUUAGGGAAGAACAUAUGUGUAAGUAACUGUGCACAUCUUGACGGUACCUAGUCAGAAAGCCACGGCUAACUACGUG
This 497-nucleotide ribosomal RNA is filed under the name uncultured bacterium. RNAcentral describes it as "partial 16S ribosomal RNA". It matches the Rfam family "Bacterial small subunit ribosomal RNA", at positions 28 to 507 of the family's 1533-position model. The record is from RNAcentral.